CAAAAACAUCUUCACCCAUGUGCCUCUUAACCUCCCUUUUGUGUUUCUUAUCCCGUCUUUUAAAUAUCUGACUCCCUUUAGUGUAUUUUAUCUACUAUUUUUGCCUUUGUGUGUCUCCUAUCUCUCCUCUUUGUAUGACUCUUACAUCCUCCCACAUUUUGUGUCUUACUCCUCCCAGCCCCUUUGUGUGACUCCUUUUCUCCCAGCCCAUUUGUGUCUUUUAUUCUUCCCAGCUCCUUUGUUUGUGUCUCUUUCCUUCUCAAGCCCCGCUGUGUGUUUCUUUCACAUCCGGCCCCUCUCCCCGUCCCUUAAUGGUCCCCUCCCUUCUCUGACCCUUAUUGUUCCUUUCCCUUCCCGCCUCCUUUCCCUGUCCCUUAGUGUUCCUCUCCCCUCCCCCAUCUGUUGGCUGUCGCUUAGUGUUCCUCUCCCCCCCUCCCUCUUUUUCCUGUACCUUAGGGUAUCUCUCCCCUCCUCUCCCUGUCCCUUGGUGCGCCACCCACCCCCAUAGUGGUCCCCUCCCCUUCCUGGUGUGCCUCCUACCUUUUUUUGUGGCGUGGCUGAGCGGAG
Molecule: non-coding RNA, 567 nt
Organism: Pelobates cultripes (western spadefoot toad)
Lineage: Eukaryota; Metazoa; Chordata; Amphibia; Anura; Pelobatidae
Source: the annotation of a GenBank genome assembly